AUUGAACGCUGGCGGCAGGCCUAACACAUGCAAGUCGAGCGGAUGAAGGGAGCUUGCUCCUGGAUUCAGCGGCGGACGGGUGAGUAAUGCCUAGGAAUCUGCCUGGUAGUGGGGGAUAACGUCCGGAAACGGGCGCUAAUACCGCAUACGUCCUGAGGGAGAAAGUGGGGGAUCUUCGGACCUCACGCUAUCAGAUGGGCCUAGGUCGGAUUAGCUAGUUUGUGGGGUAAAGGCCUACCAAGGCGACGAUCCGUAACUGGUCUGAGAGGAUGAUCAGUCACACUGGAACUGAGACACGGUCCAGACUCCUACGGGAGGCAGCAGUGGGGAAUAUUGGACAAUGGGCGAAAGCCUGAUCCAGCCAUGCCGCGUGUGUGAAGAAGGUCUUCGGAUUGUAAAGCACUUUAAGUUGGGAGGAAGGGCAGUAAGUUAAUACCUUGCUGUUUUGACGUUACCAACAGAAUAAGCACCGGCUAACUUCGUG
RNAcentral lists this ribosomal RNA (484 nucleotides) under uncultured bacterium. RNAcentral's name for it is "partial 16S ribosomal RNA". It matches the Rfam family "Bacterial small subunit ribosomal RNA", at positions 30 to 507 of the family's 1533-position model. The record is from RNAcentral.